UCGAGAGGCUUCCACAAUGGGGGAAACCCUGAUGGAGCGACGCCGCGUGGGUGAUGAAGGUCUUCGGAUCGUAAAGCCCUUUCAGCAGGGAAGAAGAGAUUGGCGACUAAUAAUCGCUGAGAUCAGACGGUACCUGAAGAAGAAGCUCCGGCUAACUCCGUGCCAGCAGCCGCGGUAAGACGGAGGGAGCAAGCGUUGUUCGGAUUUACUGGGCGUAAAGGGCGUCGAGGCGGGCUGAUAAGUCAGAUGUGA
RNAcentral lists this ribosomal RNA (252 nucleotides) under uncultured prokaryote. RNAcentral's name for it is "partial 16S ribosomal RNA". It matches the Rfam family "Bacterial small subunit ribosomal RNA", at positions 355 to 597 of the family's 1533-position model. The record is from RNAcentral.